GCACCUAGUGUAAUGGUAACAUGUCAGGCUCAUGACCUGGUGUUGGGGGUUCGAUUCCCUCGGUGCG
Non-coding RNA from Blyttiomyces helicus, 67 nucleotides. NCBI's taxonomy places the organism in Eukaryota, Fungi, Chytridiomycota, Chytridiomycetes. The record is from the annotation of a GenBank genome assembly.